RNAcentral lists this ribosomal RNA (379 nucleotides) under uncultured bacterium. Its description in RNAcentral is "bacterial SSU rRNA". It matches the Rfam family "Bacterial small subunit ribosomal RNA", at positions 524 to 898 of the family's 1533-position model. The record is from RNAcentral.
GACAGAGGGGGCAAGCGUUGUCCGGACUGACUGGGCGUAAAGCGCGCGCAGGCGGUUCGAGGCGUCGGUGCUGAAAGUCCACCGCUUAACGGUGGGAAGCGCGCCGAUACGCUCGAACUGGAGGGCGGGCGAGGGUGGUGGAAUUGCCGGUGUAGUGGUGAAAUGCGUAGAGAUCGGCAGGAACACCAGUGGCGAAGGCGGCCACCUAGCCCGCACCUGACGCUGAGGCGCGACAGCGUGGGGAGUGAACUGGAUUAGAUACCCAGGUAAUCCACGCCGUAAACGAUGCCGACUCGGUCUUCGUGAGGCGAAUAGCCUCGGGAGGGCCCGAGCUCACGCGCUAAGUCGGCCGCCUGGGGACUACGAGCGCAAGCUUAAA